RNAcentral lists this ribosomal RNA (492 nucleotides) under uncultured bacterium. RNAcentral describes it as "partial 16S ribosomal RNA". It matches the Rfam family "Bacterial small subunit ribosomal RNA", at positions 29 to 507 of the family's 1533-position model. The record is from RNAcentral.
AUUGAACGCUGGCGGCAUGCUUUACACAUGCAAGUCGAGCGGUAACAGGCCUUCGGGUGCUGACGAGUGGCGAACGGGUGAGUAAUGCAUCGGAACGUACCCAGAGGUGGGGGAUAACGCAGCGAAAGCUGUGCUAAUACCGCAUGUGAUCUGAGGAUGAAAGCGGGGGACCGAGCAGCAAUGUUUGGCCUCGCGCCUUUGGAGCGGCCGAUGUCGGAUUAGCUAGUUGGUGGGGUAAAGGCCUACCAAGGCGACGAUCCGUAGCUGGUCUGAGAGGACGACCAGGCACACUGGGACUGGGACACGGGCCAGACUCCUACGGGAGGCAGCAGUGGGGAAUUUUGGACAAUGGGCGCAAGCCUGAUCCAGCAAUGCCGCGUGCGGGAAGAAGGCCUUCGGGUUGUAAACCGCUUUUGGCAGGAACGAAACGGUGUCCGCUAAUACCGGGCGCUAAUGACGGUACCUGCAGAAUAAGCACCGGCUAACUACGUG